AUACUUACCUGGCAGGGGCAAUUCGUGAUCACGAAGGUGGUUUCCCCAGGGUGAGGCUCCCCCAUUGAACUCCAGACCUGUUGACCCCUGCGAUUUCCCCAAAUGUGGGAAACUCGACUGCAUAAUUUAUGGUAAUGGGGGACUGAAUGCGCUCUCUCCCCUG
Small nuclear RNA from Suncus etruscus (white-toothed pygmy shrew), 163 nucleotides. RefSeq annotates it as U1 spliceosomal RNA. Lineage: Eukaryota; Metazoa; Chordata; Mammalia; Eulipotyphla; Soricidae. The record is from RefSeq and is a predicted model, not a curated record. The transcript has a single exon.